Molecule: ribosomal RNA, 502 nt
Filed under: uncultured bacterium
Lineage: Bacteria
Description: partial 16S ribosomal RNA
Rfam family: Bacterial small subunit ribosomal RNA
Source: RNAcentral
ACUCAAAGGAAUAGACGGGGGCCCGCACAAGCGGUGGAGUAUGUGGUUUAAUUCGACGCAACGCGAAGAACCUUACCAACCUUUGACAUGUCCAGUAUGGUUCUAGGAGACUAGGACCUUCAGUUCGGCUGGCUGGAACACAGGUGCUGCAUGGCUGUCGUCAGCUCGUGUCGUGAGAUGUUGGGUUAAGUCCCGCAACGAGCGCAACCCUCAUCUUUAGUUGCCAUCAGGUCAGGCUGGGCACUCUAAAGAAACCGCCGGUGACAAGCCGGAGGAAGGUGGGGAUGACGUCAAGUCCUCAUGGCCCUUACAGGUUGGGCUACACACGUACUACAAUGGUGGUGACAGUGGGUUGCGAAGCCGCAAGGUGGAGCCAAUCCCCAAAAACCAUCUCAGUUCAGAUUGCACUCUGCAACUCGAGUGCAUGAAGUUGGAAUCGCUAGUAAUCGCAGAUCAGCACGCUGCGGUGAAUACGUUCCCGGGCCUUGUACACACCGCCCGU